RNAcentral lists this unclassified non-coding RNA (312 nucleotides) under fungal sp. Its description in RNAcentral is "partial internal transcribed spacer region". The stretch from base 1 to 46 matches the Rfam family "Eukaryotic small subunit ribosomal RNA", at positions 1786 to 1831 of the family's 1831-position model. The record is from RNAcentral. Lineage: Eukaryota; Fungi.
AAGUCGUAACAAGGUAACCGUAGGUGAACCUGCGGUUGGAUCAUUAACAAUUUUAGCAGGGAGCUUGUCUUUGGAUGAGAUCCUGUGAAAAAUCAAUCACCUUUUGUGCACUGUCUGUCUCUGGCGGCCGGGGCAAAAUCAACCUUGAUCGAGGUUGCAUAGCUUGUGCUCUGUCAGCUUGGUACACUUGUGGACCAGGCCGUGGACAAACCGCCAACCACUUUGUUUAUCUCCCUGUUUUAAUCUCCUGUCUAACAAUUUUCUUUGUAUUAACAUACAAUAAAACUUUUGGCAACGGAUCUCUUGGCUCUC